GGCAACGUGGCAGAGUGGUUAUUGCGUGAGACUAGAAAUCUCAUUCCUUCGGGAGCAUAGGUUCAAAUCCUGUCGUUGUCG
This is a non-coding RNA of Tricladium varicosporioides, 81 nucleotides long. NCBI's taxonomy places the organism in Eukaryota, Fungi, Ascomycota, Leotiomycetes, Helotiales, Tricladiaceae. The record is from the annotation of a GenBank genome assembly.